This 505-nucleotide ribosomal RNA is filed under the name uncultured bacterium. Its description in RNAcentral is "partial 16S ribosomal RNA". It matches the Rfam family "Bacterial small subunit ribosomal RNA", at positions 28 to 507 of the family's 1533-position model. The record is from RNAcentral.
GACGAACGCUGGCGGCGUGCCUAAUACAUGCAAGUAGAACGCACAGUUUAUACCGUAGCUUGCUACACCAUAGCCUGUGAGUUGCGAACGGGUGAGUAACGCGUAGGUAACCUGCCUGGUAGCGGGGGAUAACUAUUGGAAACGAUCGCUAAUACCGCAUAAUAUUAAUUAUUGCAUGAUAAUUAAUUGAAAGGUGCAAUUGCACCACUACCAGAUGGCCCUGCGUUGUAUUAGCUAGUAGGUGAGGUAACGGCUCACCUAGGCGACGAUACAUAGCCGACCUGAGAGGGUGAUCGGCCACACUGGGACUGAGACACGGCCCAGACUCCUUCGGGAGGCAGCAGUAGGGAAUCUUCGGCAAUGGACGAAAGUCUGACCGAGCAACGCCGCGUGAGUGAAGAAGGUUUUCGGAUCGUAAAGCUCUGUUGUAAGGGAAGAACGGGUGUGAGAGUGGAAAGUUCACACUGUGACGGUAUCUUACCAGAAAGGGACGGCUAACUACGUG